AAAAAGARRGGAGGAARGAGRGAGUGUAUGAUCAUGCACAGGACGAACGUGGCGGCGUGCAUAAUACAUGCAAGUCGAACGAACUCUGGUAUUGAUUGGUGCUUGCAUCAUGAUUUACAUUUGAGUGAGUGGCGAACUGGUGAGUAACACGUGGGAAACCUGCCCAGAAGCGGGGGAUAACACCUGGAAACAGAUGCUAAUACCGCAUAACAACUUGGACCGCAUGGUAAGAGUUUGAAAGAUGGCUUCGGCUAUCACUUUUGGAUGGUCCCGCGGCGUAUUAGCUAGAUGGUGGGGUAACGGCUCACCAUGGCAAUGAUACGUAGCCGACUGAGAGGGUAAUCGGCCACAUUGGGACUGAGACACGGCCCAGACUCUACGGGAGGCAGCAGUAGGGAAUCUUCCACAAUGGACGAAAGUCUGAUGGAGAAGGCCGCGUGAGUGAAGAAGGGUUUCGGCUCGUAAAUCUCUGUGUAAAGAAGAACAUAUAGGAAGGUAGGUG
RNAcentral lists this ribosomal RNA (502 nucleotides) under Lactiplantibacillus plantarum. RNAcentral's name for it is "bacterial SSU rRNA". It matches the Rfam family "Bacterial small subunit ribosomal RNA", at positions 1 to 464 of the family's 1533-position model. Lineage: Bacteria; Bacillati; Bacillota; Bacilli; Lactobacillales; Lactobacillaceae. The record is from RNAcentral.